RNAcentral lists this ribosomal RNA (474 nucleotides) under uncultured bacterium. RNAcentral describes it as "bacterial SSU rRNA". It matches the Rfam family "Bacterial small subunit ribosomal RNA", at positions 19 to 518 of the family's 1533-position model. The record is from RNAcentral.
CUGGCUCAGAUUGAACGCUGGCGGCAGGCCUAAUAACAUGCAAGUCGAACGGUAACAUAGGAAAAGCUUGCUUUCCUGAUGACGAGUGGCGGACGGGUGAGUAAUAUUGGGAAGCUACCUGAUAGAGGGGGACAACAGUUGGAAACGACUGCUAAUACCGCAUACAGCCUGAGGGUGAAAGCAGCGAUGCGCUAUCAGAUGCGCCCAAAUGGGAUUAGCUAGUAGGUGAGGUAAAGGCUCACCUAGGCGACGAUCUCUAGCUGGUCUGAGAGGAUGAUCAGCCACAUUGGGACUGAGACACGGCCCAGACUCCUACGGGAGGCAGCAGUAGGGAAUAUUGCACAAUGGAGGAAACUCUGAUGCAGCCAUGCCGCGUGUGUGAAGAAGGCCUUCGGGUUGUAAAGCACUUUCGGAGGGGAGGAGAAUGACGUUACCCUCAGAAGAAGCACCGGCUAACUCCGUGCCAGCAGCGGC